This 467-nucleotide ribosomal RNA is filed under the name uncultured bacterium. RNAcentral's name for it is "partial 16S ribosomal RNA". It matches the Rfam family "Bacterial small subunit ribosomal RNA", at positions 28 to 506 of the family's 1533-position model. The record is from RNAcentral.
GACGAACGCUGGCGGCGUGCUUAACACAUGCAAGUCGAACGGAAAGGCCCUGCUUUUGUGGGGUGCUCGAGUGGCGAACGGGUGAGUAACACGUGAGUAACCUGCCCUUGACUUUGGGAUAACUUCAGGAAACUGGGGCUAAUACCGGAUAGGAGCUCCUGCUGCAUGGUGGGGGUUGGAAAGUUUCGGCGGUUGGGGAUGGACUCGCGGCUUAUCAGCUUGUUGGUGGGGUAGUGGCUUACCAAGGCUUUGACGGGUAGCCGGCCUGAGAGGGUGACCGGCCACAUUGGGACUGAGAGACGGCCCAGACUCCUACGGGAGGCAGCAGGGGGGAAUAUUGCACAAUGGGCGGAAGCCUGAUGCAGCAACGCCGCGUGCGGGAUGACGGCCUUCGGGUUGUAAACCGCUUUCGCCUGUGACGAAGCGUGAGUGACGGUAAUGGGUAAAGAAGCACCGGCUAACUACGU